RNAcentral lists this ribosomal RNA (578 nucleotides) under uncultured bacterium. RNAcentral describes it as "bacterial SSU rRNA". It matches the Rfam family "Bacterial small subunit ribosomal RNA", at positions 102 to 694 of the family's 1533-position model. The record is from RNAcentral.
AAGGGGCAGUAAUGUGUGGAUAACCUACCCUGGGGUUGGGCAUAGCCUCUCUAACGAGAGGGUAACACCCAGCGAUCCGGCGUGGCGGCAUCGCCGAGCCGGGAAAGUUUACGCCUCGGGAGGGGUCCACAUCGUAUUACCUAGUUGGUGAGGUAACGGCUCACCAAGGGGAAGAUGCGUAGCGGGUGUGAGAGCACGACCCGCGCCACUGGCACUGUGACACUGGCCAGACACCUACGGGUGGCUGCAGUCGAGGAUCUUCGUCAAUGGGGGAAACCCUGAACGAGCGACGCCGCGUGUGCGAUGAAGGCCUUCGGGUUGUAAAGCACGAAAGUGGGGAUAAAAGCCGAAAGGUCUGAUUGAUCCACAGUAAGCUCGGGCUAAGUUCGUGCCAGCAGCCGCGGUAAGACGAACCGAGCGAACGUUGUUCGGAAUCACUGGGCUUAAAGGGCGCGUAGGCGGGCGAUCAAGUCGGUGGUGAAAUCCUGCAGCUUAACUGCAGAACUGCCUCCGAUACUGGUUGUCUCGAGGAAGGUAGGGGCGUGCGGAACAGUUGGUGGAGCGGUGAAAUGCGUUGA